This is a long non-coding RNA of Rhinolophus ferrumequinum (greater horseshoe bat), 2857 nucleotides long. RefSeq lists it as uncharacterized. The record is from RefSeq and is a predicted model, not a curated record. NCBI's taxonomy places the organism in Eukaryota, Metazoa, Chordata, Mammalia, Chiroptera, Rhinolophidae. The transcript is spliced from 2 exons.
CGGAAAAUGCAAAUUUAGGUCUUUAACCACUAAAUUAACCACUUAGUUAGUCCUUGUUGCCCAGAUAAGUUCCCUCCCCUUAAAAUGAACACAUAGUAUAUGAAUUCUGUGUCUAGUCGGUGCGGGCUCCUCCGUAAAUGAAGACUGAGACAAGGGUGUAGGUUUUAAAUCUCAGUGAUUCCUUCUGAUUUAACACGGAUCAGUUCAUGCAUUGAACACGGAGCCCUUUGGGAGCAAUAAAAACUACGCCAUGAAUGUUCGGGCUUUCUUUUUUUUUUCCCCUUGCAGAAUAGUGCUUUUCUUUAUUCUUUUCCUUUACACCCCACUACUGAGCUGCAUGUGUCGCUGAUGUUGUCGUGUCAAGUUCAGGAUGAGUAUUUGGACAGGCUGGGCGAGUCAGUGUUGCCAGUGUGCAUUCUAGUCCUGGAGUCUAGGAUGCCCUCCUCAUGUAGCCCUGGGUCUGACAAGGGAGAGGAGAUGUUUGCUGACCCUCUGCUGGGGAAGGUAUUUGCUGAUCUUUGCUGCUGGGGGAGAUGUUUGCUGACCCUCUGUUGGGGGAGGUGUUUGCUGAUCUUUGCUGCUGGGGGAGGUAUUUGCUGAUCUUUGCUGCUGGGGGAGGUGUUUGCUGACCCUCUGUAGGGGGGAGGUGUUUGCUGACCCUCUGCUGGGGGAGGUGUUUGCUGACCCUCUACGGGGUGGGGGGCGGUGUUUGCUGAUCUUUGCUGCUGGGGGACGUGUUUGCUGACCCUCUGCUGGGGAGGUGUUUGCUGACCCUCUGCUGGGGAGGUGUUUGCUGACCCUCUGCUGGGGGAGGUGUUUGCUGACCCUCUGUUGGGGGAGGUGUUUGCUGACCCUCUGCUGGGGGAGGUGUUUGCUGACCCUCUGCUGGGGAGGUGUUUGCUGACCCUCUGCUGGGGAGGUGUUUGCUGACCCUCUGCUGGGGGAGGUGUUUGCUGACCCUCUGCUGGGGAGGUGUUUGCUGACCCUCUGCUGGGGGAGGUGUUUGCUGACCCUCUGCUGGGGGAGGUGUUUGCUGACCCUCUGCUGGGGGAGGUGUUUGCUGACCCUCUGUUGGGGGAGGUGUUUGCUGACCCUCUGCUGGGGGAGGUGUUUGCUGACCCUCUGCUGGGGAGGUGUUUGCUGACCCUCUGCUGGGGAGGUGUUUGCUGACCCUCUGCUGGGGGAGGUGUUUGCUGACCCUCUGCUGGGGGAGGUGUUUGCUGACCCUCUGCGGGGGGGGGUGGGAGAGGUGUUUGCUGACUAUCGUUGCUGGGCAGGCUCUGGUACUUGCAGUCUGACUCCAGAGCCAGCCCCCGCUCCUGCUGGGAUGCACAGAGAGAAGGUCCCUUUCCAUGAGUGAUGGACAGGCUGAGUUCCGAGCCUGGGGGACCAAUGGUCGCAUGUUUCUCAUCAGGCCCAGGCUCCACUGUCAGGCCCCAGGUUCUGUGUCCUUUGUCACCUUUUAUGCUUGUGUUCCCCCUGCCCAGUGAGUGGAGUUUGGCUUGUGGGCCCUCCCUGUGUAUCUGGCUGGGGAAAGGGCCACAGAUUUGGGGCCCCCUCUGGGGAGUUCCAGGGGCUUCAGAGGUGCCUGUGGUCGUCCAUGGUGAUUCUGUAGCAGCUGCCGGCACCUGGAGACUCUGUUUCCCUCUCUAGGGUCUUUCAGGUACCACUGUGAGCAGUGAAUGGGCCUACUGUGUGCAAGUGAGCAGACGCUGGGGAGAGCCUGGGCUAGUCCGAGGGGACACGUGUCAAAAACCCGUGAACACUGUCUUUAUGCCCUCUUUUUCUACACAUUGGAGCCUAGUGGAGGGUUUGAAAUGGCUGCCCACUGACAAAGUUUGAACACAGAGAAAGCAGUGGCCCUGGUCACUGGUGCGUGGUGACAGACACUAGAUGCACAGCCCUGUUGGAGGUGCUCUGUCAUCCCCGCCCUCAAGAAGCACAGAGUCUCGUUAAGAGAUGAGCUGAGUGUGCACACCACUAAGUGACAUAAAGCGACAAUGUCAGUAGCACCUUGUGAAAUGGACGCAGGUGUGAUCCUCCGCUCUGAAUCGUCUCGUCCGUGCCUGUCGCGCCCUCCGUGCACCGUGCAGGAGGACUUCCCUUACCCCCGUUGGGUUAUUGAGCGUGAAGCCGAUCUGCAGAGAAGCGUGCGCCCAGUCACAUGCGGCCAUGCCCACGCCCAUGUGACGACUGAUUUGGGUCAGAUUUGGGGCGAAGAAUAAGGAACUCUCUGCAUGUUGCUUUGUGUCCACCCGAGAUGCCCAUAGGACAAGCCAAAUAGAAUCUUUUCAGCCCAGCUGACUUCUUGCAGCUGAAUUAUUCAUCCCUGUGAGUGACCCCUGCUGCGACUUUCUCACCAGUAGUGCAUGCUUCCCCCGGCAUGCAACACUCAGCGUUCAGUGGUGUGACGCGGCUUCUACUCUGCCCGCCUGCCAUGUAACCAGGCUUAAGGUCGAAACAGUGGGCCAUCAUGUCCGCCUGCCUUCUCUCUGGAAACAGCACACCCUCGGCCCACCUGCCUGCCCCUUUGUCUAGUGAGUUAGCUCCUAAAGCCACGGCCAGCCUCUCCAAACACGUGGGCUUGGGCCGGGUGCCACCCACUCGGACCGGCCACGCUUUGUCCCAAACCCUGCAUGGGGCUGCCAGGGUGCAUGCGGACAUUCGGGUUUCACAUUCUUGCAUAUCAGGGCCAGGGUGCAGAAACACAGGGGCAGUUUUGGGGUAGAAGAUGUCACACUGUGUUCUGCCUGAUUGAGGGGGUGGACACAUGUGAAUUAAGUUUUAGCACAAGCAUUUGCCGCUAGCUGAUUCAGUGAAAAUGGUGGCAUUCUUCCAAACCACUCGGGAAAUAAAA